UAGUAACGGCGAGUGAAGCGGGAUGAGCUCAAGCUUAAAAUCUCCGUGCAAUUUUUGCAUGGCGAAUUGUAGUCUAUAGAGGCGUGGUCAGUGUGGGCACUUAAGGUAAGUUCCUUGGAAAAGGACAGCAUGGAGGGUGAUACUCCCGUUCAUCCUUGAGUUGCUUGUGCGUACGACCCGUUUUCUUCGAGUCGCGUUGUUUGAGAAUGCAGCGCAAAGUAGGUGGUAAAUUCCAUCUAAAGCUAAAUAUUGGUGCGAGACCGAUAGCAUACAAGUACCGUGAGGGAAAGAUGAAAAGAACUUUGAAAAUAGAGUUAAAGAGUACCUGAAACUGCUGAAAGGGAACCAAAUCGUUUCCAGUGUCUAUAAUCCGUGGUAUAUUUCAUUGGCGAGUGUGUGUGUGCGUGUGCUAUAGCAGUGGCCUUUGGCUGCGCUUGGUGUGUGUGCUGCGUGUGCUUGCUGGUGCCCUGUGCUGUGGUGGGACGUCAAGGUCAGUUCGUAUGCUGCGGGAAAUGGCUACCGAGGAGGUAGGGCUUACGCUUGCGUUUGUCUGUUAUAUCUUGGUAGACGAGUAGUCGCGGUUGGGACUGAGGUGCCUACAACGUGCUUUUGAGUGGGCUUGGGUCUCUGUGUGCGCCGUGUGCGGAUAGCUURCUAUGCGUGUGUGGUUGUGUGUGGAU
Molecule: ribosomal RNA, 680 nt
Filed under: Plasmopara baudysii
Lineage: Eukaryota; Oomycota; Peronosporomycetes; Peronosporales; Peronosporaceae
Description: LSU rRNA
Rfam family: Eukaryotic large subunit ribosomal RNA
Source: RNAcentral